This 468-nucleotide ribosomal RNA is filed under the name uncultured bacterium. RNAcentral describes it as "partial 16S ribosomal RNA". It matches the Rfam family "Bacterial small subunit ribosomal RNA", at positions 28 to 507 of the family's 1533-position model. The record is from RNAcentral.
GACGAACGCUGGCGGCGUGCUUAACACAUGCAAGUCGAACGGAAAGGCCCUGCGCUUGUGGGGUGCUCGAGUGGCGAACGGGUGAGUAACACGCGAGUAACCCGCCCCUGACUUUGGGAUAACAUCAGGAAACUGGGGCUAAUACCGGAUAGGAGCUCCUGCUGCACGGUGGGGGUUGGAAAGUUUCGGCGGUUGGGGCUGGACUCGCGGCUUAUCAGCUUGUUGGUGGAGUAGUGGCUUACCAAGUGUUUGACGGAUAGCCCGCCUGAGAGGGUGGCCGGCGACAUGACUCCUACGAGAGGGCGCAGUAGCCUACGGGAGGCAACGGUGGGGAGUAUGACACAGUGGGGCGACGCGUGAGACAGAGGCGCCGCGUGCGGAAUGACGGCCUUCGGGGUGUAAACAGCUUUCGACUGUAACGAGGCGUGAUUGACGGUAAUGGGUAAAAAAGCACCGGCUAACUACGUG